UACGUAGGGUGCAAGCGUUGUCCGGAAUUAUUGGGCGUAAAGAGCUCGUAGGCGGUUCGUCGCGUCGGCUGUGAAAACCUGAGGCUCAACCUCAGGCCUGCAGUCGAUACGGGCGGACUUGAGUACUGCGAGGGGAGACUGGAAUUCCUGGUGUAGCGGUGGAAAUGCGCAGAUAUCAGGAGGGAACACCGGUGGCGAAGGCGGGUCUCUGGGCAGUAACUGACGUGGAGGAGCG
RNAcentral lists this ribosomal RNA (235 nucleotides) under uncultured bacterium. Its description in RNAcentral is "partial 16S ribosomal RNA". It matches the Rfam family "Bacterial small subunit ribosomal RNA", at positions 524 to 755 of the family's 1533-position model. The record is from RNAcentral.